RNAcentral lists this ribosomal RNA (372 nucleotides) under uncultured organism. RNAcentral's name for it is "partial 16S ribosomal RNA". It matches the Rfam family "Bacterial small subunit ribosomal RNA", at positions 527 to 896 of the family's 1533-position model. The record is from RNAcentral.
GUAGGUGGCAAGCGUUGUCCGGAAUUAUUGGGCGUAAAGCGCGCGCAGGCGGUUCUUUAAGUCUGAUGUGAAAGCCCACGGCUCAACCGUGGAGGGUCAUUGGAAACUGGAGAACUUGAGUACAGAAGAGGAAAGCGGAAUUCCACGUGUAGCGGUGAAAUGCGUAGAGAUGUGGAGGAAUACCAGUGGCGAAGGCGGCUUUCUGGUCUGUAACUGACGCUGAGGCGCGAAAGCGUGGGGAGCAAACAGGAUUAGAUACCCUGGUAGUCCACGCCGUAAACGAUGAGUGCUAAGUGUUAGGGGGUUUCCGCCCCCCUUAGUGCUGCAGCUAACGCAUUAAGCACUCCGCCUGGGAGUACGGCCGCAAGGCUG